This 570-nucleotide ribosomal RNA is filed under the name uncultured bacterium. Its description in RNAcentral is "partial 16S ribosomal RNA". It matches the Rfam family "Bacterial small subunit ribosomal RNA", at positions 355 to 919 of the family's 1533-position model. The record is from RNAcentral.
UGGGGAAUUUUGGACAAUGGGCGAAAGCCUGAUCCAGCAAUGCCGCGUGUGUGAAGAAGGCCUUCGGGUUGUAAAGCACUUUUGUCCGGAAAGAAAUCCUUGGCUCUAAUACAGUCGGGGGAUGACGGUACCGGAAGAAUAAGCACCGGCUAACUACGUGCCAGCAGCCGCGGUAAUACGUAGGGUGCAAGCGUUAAUCGGAAUUACUGGGCGUAAAGCGUGCGCAGGCGGUUUGCUAAGACCGAUGUGAAAUCCCCGGGCUCAACCUGGGAACUGCAUUGGUGACUGGCAGGCUAGAGUAUGGCAGAGGGGGGUAGAAUUCCACGUGUAGCAGUGAAAUGCGUAGAGAUGUGGAGGAAUACCGAUGGCGAAGGCAGCCCCCUGGGCCAAUACUGACGCUCAUGCACGAAAGCGUGGGGAGCAAACAGGAUUAGAUACCCUGGUAGUCCACGCCCUAAACGAUGUCAACUAGUUGUUGGGGAUUCAUUUCCUAGUAACGUAGCUAACGCGUGAAGUUGACCGCCUGGGGAGUACGGUCGCAAGAUUAAAACUUAAAUGAAUUGACGGGGU